GGCAAAUUUGACACGGGACACACCAUAGCAGAGCUUGUUUCCUUUCAGUGAUCAGCUAUAAAGCAUUUGAAGACUCAACUGACUUGGGCAACGACCUACGUGGCCCGUCUGGAGAAUGAUGCUGAGAGGGACAUGUAUUUCCCUGGAAACUGCCUGGUGGAGCAUGUUUAGGAACCGCAUUCCUCUCACUCCUAGGAUGGAGCGAGCUGCUGCUGUGCUUUCCCCGACGUCUGUUCCAGUCGGCCAGCCAGCCACCCACCCACGCAGAAAUAUGGCUGCAAAGAAUGUCUGGCUUCAGGUUCAACUUGAUCACUGUCCCAUGCUUGCGAGUGCAACAGCUGCUCUUGGAUGGCUACCAGGACCUGUUAGACUCACAGCCUGACCCCGCAGAUUCCAAC
RNAcentral lists this long non-coding RNA (398 nucleotides) under Scleropages formosus (Asian bonytongue). RNAcentral's name for it is "lncRNA (ENSSFOG00015026004.1)". The record is from RNAcentral. Lineage: Eukaryota; Metazoa; Chordata; Actinopteri; Osteoglossiformes; Osteoglossidae.